UACGGGGGGGGCAAGCGUUGUUGGGAAUUACUGGGCGUAAAGGGUUUGUAGGGGGCUUGCUAAGUCAGACGUGAAAUCCCUCAGCUUAACUGGGGAACUGCGUCUGAGACUGGCAGGCUUGAGUGCAGGAGAGGAACGCGGAAUUCCUGGUGUAGCGGUGAAAUGCGCAGAUAUCGGGAGGAACACCUGUGGCGAAGGCGGCUUUCUGGGCCUUACCUGACGCUGAGACGCGAAAGCGUGGGGAGCGAACCGG
Molecule: ribosomal RNA, 253 nt
Filed under: uncultured bacterium
Lineage: Bacteria
Description: partial 16S ribosomal RNA
Rfam family: Bacterial small subunit ribosomal RNA
Source: RNAcentral